Molecule: ribosomal RNA, 433 nt
Filed under: uncultured bacterium
Lineage: Bacteria
Description: partial 16S ribosomal RNA
Rfam family: Bacterial small subunit ribosomal RNA
Source: RNAcentral
AAUGAACGCUGGCGGCAGGCCUAACACAUGCAAGUCGAGCGGACCCUUCGGGGUUAGCGGCGGACGGGUGAGUAACGCGUGGGAAUAUGCCCUUCUCUACGGAAUAGUCCUGGGAAACUGGGGGUAAUACCGUAUACGCCCUUUGGGGGAAAGAUUUAUCGGGGAAGGAUUAGCCCGCGUUGGAUUAGGUAGUUGGUGGGGUAAUGGCCUACCAAGCCGACGAUCCAUAGCUGGUUUGAGAGGAUGAUCAGCCACACUGGGACUGAGACACGGCCCAGACUCCUACGGGAGGCAGCAGUGGGGAAUCUUAGACAAUGGGGGCAACCCUGAUCUAGCCAUGCCGCGUGAGUGAUGAAGGCCUUAGGGUUGUAAAGCUCUUUCAGCUGGGAAGAUAAUGACGGUACCAGCAGAAGAAGCCCCGGCUAACUCCGUG